GUGCUCACUUGGGCAGCACAGAGACUAAAAUUGGAAUGAUACAUAGAAUAUUAGUAUCAUUCCAAUUUUAGUCUCUGUGCUGCCCAAGUGAGCACUAUAUUUUGUGUGAGGAUGACACACAAAUUUGUAAAGCACUCCAUAUUUUU
Molecule: small nuclear RNA, 146 nt
Filed under: Otolemur garnettii (small-eared galago)
Lineage: Eukaryota; Metazoa; Chordata; Mammalia; Primates; Galagidae
Source: RNAcentral